UCAGUCGACUCCUACGGGGAGGCAGCAGUGGGGGAAUAUUGCACAAUGGGCGCAAGCCUGAUGCAGCCAUGCCGCGUGUGUGAAGAAGGACCUUCGGGUUGUAAAGCACUUUCAGUCGUGAGGAAGGUAGUGUAGUUAAUAGCUGCAUUAUUUGACGUUAGCGACAGAAGAAGCACCGGCUAACUCCGUGCCAGCAGCCGCGGUAAUACGGAGGGUGCGAGCGUUAAUCGGAAUUACUGGGCGUAAAGCGCAUGCAGGUGGUUUGUUAAGUCAGAUGUGAAAGCCCGGGGCUCAACCUCGGAAUUGCAUUUGAAACUGGCAGACUAGAGUACUGUAGAGGGGGGUAGGAAUUUCAGGUGUAGCGGUGAAAUGCGUAGAGAUCUGAAGGAAUACCGGUGGCGAAGGCGGCCCCCUCGGACAGAUACUGACACUCAGAUGCGAAAGCGUGGGGAGCAAACAGGAUUAGAUACCCUGGUAG
This 478-nucleotide ribosomal RNA is filed under the name uncultured bacterium. RNAcentral describes it as "bacterial SSU rRNA". It matches the Rfam family "Bacterial small subunit ribosomal RNA", at positions 328 to 793 of the family's 1533-position model. The record is from RNAcentral.